GUCCCUGUAGCUUAUAGCAAAGCAUGACACUGAAGAUGUCAAGAUGGUUGCUCAAUACACCCGAGGACA
This 69-nucleotide transfer RNA is filed under the name Oedistoma iliolophus (plumed longbill). RNAcentral describes it as "tRNA-Phe". It matches the Rfam family "tRNA". From Rfam's summary of the family: Transfer RNA (tRNA) molecules are approximately 80 nucleotides in length. Their secondary structure includes four short double-helical elements and three loops (D, anti-codon, and T loops). The record is from RNAcentral. Lineage: Eukaryota; Metazoa; Chordata; Aves; Passeriformes; Melanocharitidae.